RNAcentral lists this ribosomal RNA (254 nucleotides) under uncultured bacterium. RNAcentral describes it as "partial 16S ribosomal RNA". It matches the Rfam family "Bacterial small subunit ribosomal RNA", at positions 524 to 776 of the family's 1533-position model. The record is from RNAcentral.
UACGAAGGGAGCUAGCGUUGUUCGGAAUUACUGGGCGUAAAGGGCGCGUAGGCGGCUUCGCUAGUUGGGCGUGAAAUGCCUGGGCUUAACCCAGGAAUUGCGCCCAAUACUUCGAGGCUCGAGUGUGGGAGAGGAUAGUGGAAUUCCUGGUGUAGCGGUGAAAUGCGCAGAUAUCAGGAGGAACACCGGUGGCGAAGGCGGAAUCUCUGGGCCAUUACUGACGCUGAGGAGCGAAAGCGUGGGGAGCGAACAGG